Molecule: ribosomal RNA, 460 nt
Filed under: uncultured bacterium
Lineage: Bacteria
Description: partial 16S ribosomal RNA
Rfam family: Bacterial small subunit ribosomal RNA
Source: RNAcentral
CCUACGGGGGGCAGCAGUGAGGAAUAUUGGUCAAUGGACGAGAGUCUGAACCAGCCAAGUAGCGUGAAGGAUGACUGCCCUAUGGGUUGUAAACUUCUUUUAUAAAGGAAUAAAACGAGGCACGUGUGCCUUUUUGCAUGUACUUUAUGAAUAAGGAUCGGCUAACUCCGUGCCAGCAGCCGCGGUAAUACGGAGGAUCCGAGCGUUAUCCGGAUUUAUUGGGUUUAAAGGGAGCGUAGAUGGGUUGUUAAGUCAGUUGUGAAAGUUUGCGGCUCAACCGUAAAAUUGCAAUUGAUACUGGCAGUCGUGAGUACAGUGGAGGUAGGCGGAAUUCGUGGUGUAGCGGUGAAAUGCUUAGAUAUUACGAAGAACCCCGAUUGCGAAGGCAGCUUACUAAACUGUGACUGACAUUGAUGCUCGAAAGUGUGGGUAUCAAACAGGAUUAGAUACCCUUGUAGUC